GCGACCCCGAGGUGCGACCUCGGCGUGGCUGGCGGUUGGUCCGGGCGAGGAGCCCGCAGCCUGGGCGUCAGCGUGGUCAGGGCCGUCGUGGCUCCCGCCGCGGGCCUCGGCGCAGAGAUCCUAAGGCCGCGGCGCCGUCCCGGUCCCGCCAGUGGUGCCACCCGGCUGCCUCGCCGUGGUGUGCCGUGGUCGCCACCGGGCCCGACACGCGGCCGUAGCCCCGUCUGGAGAGCCGGGCGGUGCCAGCCAAGCCCCGCGGGUGGGGCCUGUUCCUCUGCCCGCAGCAGCCGGCCCGGGUUCCGGCCACCGCGGCCCCUCACCGCCUCCUGGCGCCUUCCCCGUGGCCCCUGCAUGCGCUUCUGCGGGCGCCUCCUUCUCGGCACCUGCUCGGCUGCUUCUCCCUGCGUCCCCCACCUGGCUCCCGCGUGAGCCCAGGCAGCGCCCCAGUCGGGCCGCCCCCGCCAGCCCUAGCUGUGCGCCCUGCGUCCCCGGUACUGAUCCAGCUUUGCGGAGGAGGCUCCGCCUCCUGCCUCCAGCUGGGCCAGAAGCUCUGGGGCCCUUCCCGAGCACUCGGGAGCCACCUGUGCACAUCUUCUCAGUCCCCACGGCCCCGGUGCAGGCCUGCCAAGAGAAGGAUCCCCGCGGAAACGUCUCGACUGACUCAGUCCCUUUCUGCACACCUGCUCUUCCCUGGGCGCGCUCUCGCCUUACUUAUUCCUGUGUGGUUCAGGCGCUGCGGAAGGAGAAGGCACCUAGACUGCACUGGGAAGGCUCCUGGAGUUGACCUGGAGCGCCAGGAAAGGUCAGUGGAGGAAAGUGCUCCAGGCAGAGGGAAUAGCUUGUGCCAAGGCCCUGAGACCCCGGCUGGGGAGCCUAAUAAUGGCAACAGUCAGCACUUGCCACGCCAAGGCAUGUUCUGAGUGUGUGUCUCGUGUCAUUUCUGUGAUGCUCGCACAUCGUUAGGGGGUACAUACCACUGGAACCUCCUCUUUUAAUAAAUGAGGAAACUGAGGCACACGGCGGUUAAGGGACUUACGCCAGGUCACACAGCAGUGGAGCUGCGCUCGGGCAGGGGGGCAGUGGAAACUGGAGAGCCCAGGGGGCAAACGGCGGAGGCUGGAGGGGCUGGCAAGGGAGGCACCGCAAAGGGCCUCACAGGGGCUAGACGAGGGCCCUGGGCACCAGAGAUUAUGGUGCCCCGCCAUGUGGAUUGAAGAUUAAACCUCGAAGCAAGUGUAUAAUGCCCCC
This 1248-nucleotide long non-coding RNA is filed under the name Homo sapiens (human). Its description in RNAcentral is "long non-coding RNA NONHSAT151475.1". The record is from RNAcentral. Lineage: Eukaryota; Metazoa; Chordata; Mammalia; Primates; Hominidae.